Phragmites australis (common reed) is the source of this 971-nucleotide long non-coding RNA. RefSeq lists it as uncharacterized. Lineage: Eukaryota; Viridiplantae; Streptophyta; Magnoliopsida; Poales; Poaceae. The record is from RefSeq and is a predicted model, not a curated record. The transcript is spliced from 2 exons.
GACCGUUUGAGCUCCAAAAAAUUCAAAAAAAUUGCAAAAAUCACCAUUUUUCACCUAUAAAUAGAGGAGCACCUUGCCCUUCCAUUCCACACCAGCAACACCAUUUUCUCUCUUGUUUCCUCCUCUCAUUCUUGUCUCAAAGUUCCUGAGAAUUAGCGAUAAUUUGGCAAAAUUAGUUUGAAUUGUUGCAAAAAAAUCCGAGCAAUUCCAAAAUCGUCAUCCUGCUGACUUGCUAUCUUGAAGUUGAAGAAAUCUUGUGCUGCAGGUGAUGAUGGACCCGACGGUGAACCUCCGGUUGGUUCACAUCCAGAUCCAGGUGAUGCAGCAGCAGUUCCAUCGUCAGGCUCUACAAGUGCGGACACAUUAGCAAGCAGCGGGUCUAAAAGAUCAAGAGCCGGUACUUCCGAAGUUUGGCAAGACUUUGAAAGGAUCUACAAAGAGGAAGAUGGGGUAAGUGUCAGGUAUGCUAGGUGUUAUAUUUGUAAAAAUGAAUUAUCAGCAAAGCCCUCGGGUGGAACGGGGCACUUGAAGAGGCACGCCACAAGUUGCAAGCGAAAGAGUGGAGCAGCCAUGAAGCAGACGGUGUUGCAGUACAACCCCGACGGCUCUGUUCAUCAUUGGGAGUACGACUCUGCCAAUGUUCGAAAAGAGCUAUGUCGCUUCAUUGCAAGAGCGGAUCUACCACUCAAUAUCGGUGAGUCUGCUGCAUUUGAAGAUUACAUUAAGCAAGCUCAUAAUCCUAGGUUCACGCAUGUUUCUAGACAGACAACUAGUAGGGAUAUGGUAAAAUACUACAAUGCGUGUCGUAGCAAGCUUAAAGAAAUGUUGCAAACAUGUAUAUUUUCAGUUGCUUUGACCUCGGACAUAUGGGCAGGUAGGGCUAGAGAGGAUUAUCUUAGUGUGGUUGCUCAUUUUGUUAAUAAUGAUUGGGAAUUAGAAAAGAGAAUAAUAGGUUUUCGUUUGAUUGACAA